GAAAUGCGAUAAGUAGUGUGAAUUGCAGAAUUCAGUGAAUCAUCGAAUCUUUGAACGCACAUUGCGCCCUUUGGUAUUCCUUAGGGCAUGCCUGUUCGAGCGUCAUCUAACCCUUCAAGCACUGCUUGGUGUUGGGCGUCUGUCCCCCUCCCGGGACUCGCCUCGAAAUCAUUGGCGGCCCGUGUAUUGGCUUCGAGCGCAGCAGACUCGCGCCUCGUCCCCUCUCCACGCGGGCGUCCAGCAAGCGAACCCCCCCAAGUUUGACCUCGGAUCAGGUAGGGAUACCCGCUGAACUUAA
RNAcentral lists this unclassified non-coding RNA (298 nucleotides) under uncultured Lophiostoma. Its description in RNAcentral is "sequence contains ITS1". The stretch from base 1 to 105 matches the Rfam family "5.8S ribosomal RNA", at positions 50 to 154 of the family's 154-position model. The record is from RNAcentral. Lineage: Eukaryota; Fungi; Ascomycota; Dothideomycetes; Pleosporales; Lophiostomataceae.